CAGUGUUUAGUUUAUUGUAAAAUAUAAUAUUUGGGUUAUUAAGAUUUAUAUCACUGA
Molecule: transfer RNA, 57 nt
Filed under: Triodontophorus brevicauda
Lineage: Eukaryota; Metazoa; Nematoda; Chromadorea; Rhabditida; Strongylidae
Description: tRNA-Pro
Source: RNAcentral